RNAcentral lists this ribosomal RNA (501 nucleotides) under uncultured bacterium. Its description in RNAcentral is "partial 16S ribosomal RNA". It matches the Rfam family "Bacterial small subunit ribosomal RNA", at positions 30 to 523 of the family's 1533-position model. The record is from RNAcentral.
AUUGAACGCUGGCGGCAUGCUUUACACAUGCAAGUCGAACGGUAACAGGGUGCUUGCACCGCUGACGAGUGGCGAACGGGUGAGUAAUGCGUCGGAACGUGCCGAGUAGUGGGGGAUAACGCAGCGAAAGUUGUGCUAAUACCGCAUACGUACUGAGGUAGAAAGUGGGGGACCUUCGGGCCUCACGCUAUUCGAGCGGCCGACGUCUGAUUAGCUAGUAGGUGAGGUAAAGGCUCACCUAGGCGACGAUCAGUAGUGGGUCUGAGAGGAUGAUCCGCCACACUGGGACUGAGACACGGCCCAGACUCCUACGGGAGGCAGCAGUGGGGGAAUUUUGGACAAUGGGCGAAAGCCUGAUCCAGCCAUGCCGCGUGUCUGAAGAAGGCCUUCGGGUUGUAAAGGACUUUUGUCAGGGAGGAAAUCCCUAGUGCUAAUAACACUGGGGGAUGACAGUACCUGAAGAAUAAGCACCGGCUAACUACGUGCCAGCCGCCGCGGUAA